AAGAACAUAGGUUGGACAUGAACCUAGUGUUAAAGAAAGUAGUUAAACAAAGUUUAACCCAAAGUGACAUUGUGGCUUGGUAUUAGCGGUAUAUGCAUGAUUAGGUAAAAACCUAUCAUUUGGCAUUGAGGCAUAGAGAUAUGGAACAGGUUGGCUAUACCUCCUCAAAUUGAGGAUGGGAUCGUACUCACAUGUAUCGGUUCCGGCUUGUGCGAGGUCGCUCCUCUACAGGCGGUGUACUCCGGAGUAUAGACACCACGGGUGAGAGUGCCCGGCGAAGAUCCCUCGGGUGACAGUGCCUUGUGCCUUCCUCGGUAGACGGGAUGGAUCCCUCGGGGCAUUUCCUAAUGCUAAACCCGGUAGAUGGGACAUGUGAGAUGUGAGCUUGGGGCGAAUUUGAU
This 401-nucleotide long non-coding RNA is filed under the name Ananas comosus (pineapple). RNAcentral describes it as "long non-coding RNA (ACOM_LNC035118)". The record is from RNAcentral. Lineage: Eukaryota; Viridiplantae; Streptophyta; Magnoliopsida; Poales; Bromeliaceae.